GAGACUGCAGAGUUCUUUCCAGAACCGUCUGCCUGUGGGAGCUCUUUCUUGGCAGUUUUAAUCCAAGAGGCUGUGAUAGGUCGAGAGGAUUGGGGCACCUUAUGAUCCUAAGUGGGUACCCAGCCUCCUAUCAGCCCUCCCAGCCACACUCAAAGGCCGUGGGGAACGUGAGUUUUUCCUCUUGCUGAAGUCCUCCUGUUGCAGGUUCACUUCAGUGGGUUUUGAUCACCAGACCUGCAAUGGGUGAAGAUGAGCCAGGGAGUCGGUGGUUUCUCUGGAUUGGAUUCUUUCUUACUUCAAUGCUGGCUCCUUGGUAUUGGCCUCCGAAGCCUCAGGAACUGCAAGUCAAUACAGAUUACUCACUCUCAGGACAUUUCAACCUUCUGUCAUACACCCAGCAUUCUUGUAGCGUGAGAGAGCUACAGAUGAGGAUUAAAUGCCAUUCAUUCCUUCACCAAACUUGUGGAAUAUCAGCUGUACACCCAGACAAAUGCAAGUGAUAUGGAGCUAUAAAAGGAUAUCGUUUUUAA
Oryctolagus cuniculus (rabbit) is the source of this 530-nucleotide non-coding RNA. The record is from RefSeq and is a predicted model, not a curated record. NCBI's taxonomy places the organism in Eukaryota, Metazoa, Chordata, Mammalia, Lagomorpha, Leporidae.